RNAcentral lists this small RNA (160 nucleotides) under Serinus canaria (Common canary). RNAcentral describes it as "TUC338 (ENSSCAG00000012294.1)". The record is from RNAcentral. Lineage: Eukaryota; Metazoa; Chordata; Aves; Passeriformes; Fringillidae.
UUGACAGCCCUGAAGACUGAAGUCCUUUAUUUAUGCAUGAGCAGCAACAGUUCUGCCUUUCCCACACUGCCCUCCUGAUAUGCUUCACCCAUGACCUGAAGGAUCCCCUUUAAGGGUGACAGCUUAGUGGCCUUCGUACCCAUUCACUCUCCAGUCCUCU